CGCGAAUAGCUCAUUACAACAGCUAAAAUCUACUGGAAAUAGACACAAUCCUACUUGGAUAACUGUGGUAAUUCUAGAGCUAAUACAUGCACUAAAGCUCUGACCUUCAUCGGGAAGAGUGCAUUUAUUAGAGCAAAACCAAGCGGCUUCGGCUGUUUUCGGUUGACUCAUAGUAACUGAGCUGAUCGCAUGGUCUUGCACCGGCGAUGUGUCUUUCGAGUAUCUGCCGUAUCAACCUUCGACGGUAGUGUAUCUGACUACCGUGGUGAUCACGCGUAACGGAGAAUAAGGGUUCGACUCCGGAGAGUUCGCCUGAGAAAUCGCGAACACAUCUAAGGAAGGCAGCAGGCGCGAAAAUUACCCAUUCUCAGCACGAGGAGGUAGUGACGAAAAAUAACGAGACCGUUCUCUUAUGAGGCCGGUCAUCGGAAUGGGUACAAUUUAAACCCUUUAACGAGUAUCUAUGAGAGGGCAAGUCUGGUGCCAGCAGCCGCGGUAAUUCCAGCU
RNAcentral lists this ribosomal RNA (507 nucleotides) under Eucephalobus striatus. RNAcentral's name for it is "SSU rRNA". It matches the Rfam family "Eukaryotic small subunit ribosomal RNA", at positions 88 to 590 of the family's 1831-position model. The record is from RNAcentral. Lineage: Eukaryota; Metazoa; Nematoda; Chromadorea; Rhabditida; Cephalobidae.